CGGUGUUUAACUGGCGUGAUGUGGGACGUCCUACCGGUGGGCUUAGCCUCGCGAGGGGCGGCCCAACUAAUAUCCCGUCGCGGUGCUCUUUACUGAGUGUCGAGUCGGGCCGGUACGUUUACUUUGAACAAAUUAGAGUGCUUAAAGCAGGCUAUCCUCGCCUGAAUACUGCGUGCAUGGAAUAAUGGAAUAGGACCUCGGUUCUAUUUUGUUGGUUUUCGGAACCCCGAGGUAAUGAUUAAUAGGGACAGAUGGGGGCAUUCGUAUUGCGACGUUAGAGGUGAAAUUCUUGGAUCGUCGCAAGACGGACAGAAGCGAAAGCAUUUGCCAAAAAUGUUUUCAUUAAUCAAGAACGAAAGUUAGAGGUUCGAAGGCGAUCAGAUACCGCCCUAGUUCUAACCAUAAACGAUGCCAGCUAGCGAUCCGCCGAAGUUCCUCCGAUGACUCGGCGGGCAGCUUCCGGGAAACCAAAGCUUUUGGGUUCCGGGGGAAGUAUGGUUGCAAAGCUGAAACUUAAAGGAAUUGACGGAAGGGCACCACCAGGAGUGGAGCCUGCGGCUUAAUUUGACUCAACACGGGAAACCCCACCAGGCCCAGACACCGGAAGGAUUGACAGAUUGAUAGCUCUUUCUUGAUUCGGUGGGUGGUGGUGCAUGGCCGUUCUUAGUUGGUGGAGCGAUUUGUCUGGUUAAUUCCGAUAACGAACGAGACUCUAGCCUGCUAAAUAGGCGUACCUUAUGGUAUCGCGAAGGCCCCCGGCUUCGGCCGGUGGGUUUUUACUACCAACGUACAAACAAAUCUUCUUAGAGGGACAGGCGG
This 819-nucleotide ribosomal RNA is filed under the name uncultured eukaryote. RNAcentral describes it as "SSU rRNA". It matches the Rfam family "Eukaryotic small subunit ribosomal RNA", at positions 629 to 1426 of the family's 1831-position model. The record is from RNAcentral.